Hemicordylus capensis (graceful crag lizard) is the source of this 1317-nucleotide long non-coding RNA. RefSeq lists it as uncharacterized. Lineage: Eukaryota; Metazoa; Chordata; Lepidosauria; Squamata; Cordylidae. The transcript has 3 exons. The record is from RefSeq and is a predicted model, not a curated record.
UGAACCCACAGUUGUUAUUGUUAUUAUUUAUUACAUCUAUAAACUGCCCCAUCCAGAGGCUAUGGGCGGUGUACAACAACUUUUUAAAAAGACAUAAAACCCACAAUUCAAACAUAAUGCUAAAAACAAUAUAAAAGCAAUUCAAAAACAAUUAAAAUGAUUUAAAACCAAUUAAAAUACUUUUAAAAAACAACAACACUACAAGCCUUGGAAGACUAGUCCAAACAAAUAGGUUUUUAGGGCUCUCUUUGGACUUUGCCUCCAUUUCCCCGGAACACUCCCAGACGAUUACGAUCUGCAGUCUGGGAGUCAGCAGAGGGGGACUAACUGGCUGUGAGGGCUUCCUUCUUUGCAUGAAGGAAAGCCACAGCAGCCAAUAGAGUCAGGGAGAGAGAGGAGCUUCCUAUUCUUAACUCCUGUUUGUACAUGGAGGCUGCCAUUCUGGGAGUUCCUUUUCCAUUUGCUCUGGCAAUGAAAGCUGACCCCAUGGAUACUUCUACUUCAGCUUGAGGAAGACACUUCUCCACGAACAUUUUUCAGGCGGAAUGCUGGCUCCUUGCUCUCUGUCCUGUGGCCUUCACAUGCACCAAUACAGCCAUUAGCAAUGUAGCUAUAGCAAAAGGUCCCUCCUUGUUUUUAGUAAUGAGCACAGGAAUUCUGCCCCACUUUUCAUGCUCAGGAUAUCGUGACCAGCUGUUGCAGUAAAGUGCCAGUUCAGAAUUUCAUACCUAAAUAAAUGAAAAAGAAAGAUGAAGAGUGCUUGGUCUGAUGUGAUGGAAAUCUCCAAAUAACUGCAUGCUCAUUGCCCCAAAGAACACUGUGCUGAUGUCCUCAAGUAACCUUUGCCAUAUCCAGCACAUUUCUCAUGGGAGGCAAUAAGACCACCAAGAAAGAGGAGAAACAAUAGCAAAAAACAGAGGUAAGGUCGAAAAAUAACACAUGGGGUGGGGGGAGCAUUCUGAAACCACUGAAAGGUUUUGUUUCUCACUUUCCUUUUAAAUCUAUUCAUCUGUUCCUGGUGAGAUGCCAGACAGUGCCCAUUUGUACAGGGCAGAGCAAGACAAUGGGGCCACAUUGCAAAGGAAGAAAUCUGAGGAAGCUCUUCAGUGCAAGAGAGCACUGCCGCUCAAGUUGCAGAGCAGUUUGGAAGCCCAUAUUACACAGCAGCAUGCAUGGCUUCCGUCAAAGCCACUGUGAAUGGCAGCUACACCAGAGAAGAGAAAGUGAAAAGUAAGCGAACACUGCAUUUGUGACACGAUUUCCUUCUACUUGUAAUCCACUUCAAUGCAUAUGUUUACAAUAUCUGCAAUAAUAAUU